Molecule: long non-coding RNA, 3539 nt
Filed under: Nicotiana benthamiana
Lineage: Eukaryota; Viridiplantae; Streptophyta; Magnoliopsida; Solanales; Solanaceae
Description: long non-coding RNA (NBEN_LNC040239)
Source: RNAcentral
UGACCGAACCUUGCUUCAAAUAUUGCCUACAUAUCCUUGCUAUAAAGAAAUCAGGUCAGUGUAGUUCAGAAGUGAACGAGGUGAUGGAGUACCGAGGCUGAGAUUCGAGUGAGGUUCCGUCCGAGGCUCCGGUCCGCUGUCCCGGUAUUUCAUCAAAAUCAAAAUUAAAAAAGACUAACUAAGCCUAUCAACUACGAGUUACAAGAUUCCUAUCUAAGAGUCUUCUGAAGCUUGAUCUUGAGUCUAGGUUAGUGCUUUGUGAGGACCCUGAUCUGAAUCUUGAUGUUUAUUAGCCGCAGGUGUUGGUUAAAUCUUCUUCAGCUUUUGGAACAAAUUCGGACACGUACUGCUCAUGACUUCAACCACGUCUUGAGCAGUUCACAUCUUUUCCUACUUCUGAAUUUUGGAGCUCACUUUGUUUGCUCCCUUUUUUUUAUUUUGGAUUGAGACUCAUUCUUUCUGCCAUCUUGAAUCGUGUUCCUCGAGGUCAAACCUACUCGGUACCUUGAACCAUUUUCCCUUGAAACUUGAACUGUCUUCCUUCAAAACUACUUUCUCUUUAAACUUGAGUUGUCUUAUGUUGACACUGCUUUCCCUUGAAACUUGAGUUGUCUUCCCCUGCUCUCCAGGUGAAAUCCAUUGCUGCCAUUUUGAAUUGUAAACUGAGAUGUUUUCCCUUCUUCAAACUACUAAAUUUGAAUGUAUUCCUCUGUUAUCCAGGAGGGCUCCUCUAUUCUCCAGGCGAGCUCCUCGCUUCAAAACUUGAAUGUAUUCCUCUAUUCUCCAGGCGGGCUCCUGACUUCACAAAAAUAGACAAAACAAAGAAAACUUUCUUCCCAAGUUUAUAAAAUUGGGUCUUGUUACCACAUACUAAUAAGAACUAAAACUUGAAUUGUGAUAAGACUUAAAUACAACUUUAAAACUUUUAAAGACUGAAAUGUACCUUAAAAUUUGAAAUUUAUCUUAGGUGAAAAAUUCAUCAGACUAAGAUUUUCAUCUUAGGAUAACGAUUCAACAGACUAAGACUUUUCCUGUUAUCUUAGGUGAACAAUUCAUCAGACUAAGAUUUUACCUUAGGAGAAAUAUUCAGCAGACUAAGAUUUUGACUCUAGGAGAUAAUUCAUCAUACUAGGUCCAUUUUUGUGUGAUCUCAGGAGAAAGAUUCAUCAGGCUGAGAUUUUGACUCUAGGAGAUAUUCAUCAGACUAGGUCCAUUUUUGUGUGAUCUCAUGAGAAAUUCAUCAGACCGAGAUUUUGAAUCUAUGAGAUAUUCAUCACACUAGGUUCAUUUUUGUGUGAUCUCAGGAGAUAUUCAUCAGACUGAGAUUUUGACUCAAGGAGAUAUUCAUCAAAUUAGACUGAGAUUUUGACUCUAGGAGAUAUUCAUCAGACUAGGUCCAUUUUUAUGUGAUCUCAGGAGAAAGAUUCAUCGGACUGAGAUUUUAACUCUAGGAGAUUCAUCAGACUAGGUCCAUUUUUGUGUGAUCUCAGGAGAAAGAUUCAACGGAUUGAGAUUUUUACUCUAGGAAAUAAUCAUUAGACUAGGUCUAAAUUUCGAAUACAAACAUUCCUUUCCUUCUUUAUCAAAUUGUGCCUUCAUUUCUUUCUCUCAAAUUACGCCUUUCUUUCUUUUUUCAACUUUUGCCUUUCUUCCUAAAUUAUGCCUUCCCUUCUUUUUUUCCAACUUCUAUCUUUCUUCCCGAAUUAUGCCUUCCUUUCUUGUCCCAACUUCUACCUUUAUCUUAGGUGAAAGAUUCAUCAGACUAUGAUUUUAUCUUAGGUGAAAAAUUUAUCGGACUAAGAGUUUCUUCCUUCAUCUUAGGUGAAAGAUUCAUCAGACUAAGAUUUCUCUAUCUUAGGUGAAAAUUUCAUCAGCUAAGAUUUUAUCUCAACCAUUUUCCUCCGAAACUUGUUUUAUCUUCCUUCUAACUUGCCUUCCUUUAGAACUGCUUCCCUAAAAACGGGUGUUGUCCUCCUUCAAAACCAACUUCCCUAACAACAAGUGUUUCUAUCCUCCGAAAAUUAGUUGCCUUAAAACCGGUGUUUCUUUCCUGAAAACUACUUCCCCCUUUAUUAAACUUGUAUUGACCUUUAUAUUCUUCAUAUGUAUACCCGCCUUCAAAAAUGAUUUUCAAAACGGUAGAAAUUUCCUGCCCUAGCAUAUCUUUCUUCCAUCAAUAACAUUUCCAUGCCCCUGUUUCAAAUCAAAGAAAAUUUUAUCAGUUUAAUGUGUUGCGGCUGACUGUGGUACUUCUACUGGAGAUGGCUUUCCUUUCUCUCUUUUCCAUGCUCUGUGUUGUCCGCCCAUCUUUGGAACUUGGCUGAUGACUUCUGACUUUCUGACGACUCCUUAUUCACAAUCUUCCACAUUUAGCCUUCCUAUCGGCUAUGAAUCCCAAAGCACGUUUGUUUCCCCCACAGGAUGUUGUUCUUUCUUAGAUUAUCUGAUGACCUUGGCCUUGAGGUUUGUUCCUCCCUUACUUUUCAUGAUAACUUUAUUUUCAUUUGAAGACCCGUGCUUUUCUUGCCUAACCAUUUCAUUUUCCAUUCAAACAUGCCUCUUCUGCAUUUAAACCCUAUACAUUCUGUCUGUUGCCCUGCCUUUGAACUGACUAUUACCAACCCUUGUACCUCUCAUGAACCCCCAAAACAUGUUGAUUGCUACCUACAGUCUGCCGUUCGUUUAAACUGAGCCUCUUGGCCCUGACCUUGAGAUCUAUUGCUCAUUCUCUUACCCCUUGUCACAGAAAAUAUCUAUUCUUCGUUCAAAACCAAAUACCCUUCAUCUGUUGCACUACUCCUGAACCGAAAUCUACUAAACUUUGUGUUUCAUAAGGAUCCCAAAUUAUGUUGAUUAUUACCAGCUCAGUGCUCUUGUUGUUUUUCCUGACUUGUGACCCCAUUUUGUGCAAUUGGAAAGUUGGUGGCAAAUUUUGAAGUCAUUUCUCACUUGUUACGAUCAAAAAGACUCAGAAUGGGAAAAUAAACAAAACUGAGGAAAGGAGUGAAAGACAAAAGAAAGAUGAUUCCUAAAGAGGAGACUACGAAGUAGAAAACUAUCAGAUGUGAGUACUAACUCUAACGACCAAGACAUGCACUUAUAGAUAUUAUGUCAAUCAAUUCUGACGAUUAGCUCUUGUUGUUCCUUUCGCUCUGAAAUUGGGCUUCAAUGCUCCACUUAUCCGAUUUGAUUCGCUGUCCUUAUUCGACUUGUGUUGCCCGGAGGGUUUUCACCAUCAAGCUUCUCUCAUUUGUUCUUUCUCUCAACUUACCAUCGCCUUAAGGUGCCUGUGAAGAUUUUCACCACUAAGACUCUCAUUUUUUAUCUCUCUCAACUUCCAUCACCUUGUUUAGACUGGAGUGUUGCCCCUGACAUGAAUUACCUUACCUGUUUGACUUGACAUUUAUCAAAGACUGAUCAGAAGGUCUUUGUUUGGACCGUAAUGUAGGCUUUUUGAUGGGUUAGAAAGAAAGGGUAUAAAAAGUCUCAAAACAAUUUAAAAUGGGGUUAAAACUACAACUUUCGCAAUCCAAUUUAUC